UACGAAGGGGGCUAGCGUUGCUCGGAAUCACUGGGCGUAAAGCGCACGUAGGCGGAUUGUUAAGUCGGGGGUGAAAUCCUGGAGCUCAACUCCAGAACUGCCUUCGAUACUGGCGAUCUUGAGUCCGGGAGAGGUGAGUGGAACUCCGAGUGUAGAGGUGAAAUUCGUAGAUAUCUGGAGGAACACCGGUGGCGAAGGCGGCAUCCUGGACCGACACUGACGCUGAGGAGCGAAAGCCAGGGGAGCAAACGGG
Molecule: ribosomal RNA, 253 nt
Filed under: uncultured bacterium
Lineage: Bacteria
Description: partial 16S ribosomal RNA
Rfam family: Bacterial small subunit ribosomal RNA
Source: RNAcentral